RNAcentral lists this ribosomal RNA (490 nucleotides) under uncultured bacterium. RNAcentral's name for it is "partial 16S ribosomal RNA". It matches the Rfam family "Bacterial small subunit ribosomal RNA", at positions 29 to 507 of the family's 1533-position model. The record is from RNAcentral.
AGUGAACGCUGGCGGCAGGCCUAACACAUGCAAGUCGAACGGCAGCACAAGAGAGCUUGCUCUCUGGGUGGCGAGUGGCGGACGGGUGAGGAAUGCAUCGGAAUCUGCCCAUUUGUGGGGGAUAACCUCGGGAAACCGGGACUAAUACCGCAUACGACCUACGGGUGAAAGCAGGGGAUCUUCGGACCUUGCGCAGAUGGAUGAGCCGAUGCCGGAUUAGCUAGUUGGGGGGGUAAAGGCCCACCAAGGCGACGAUCCGUAGCUGGUCUGAGAGGAUGGUCGGCCACACUGGGACUGAGACACGGCCCAGACUCCUACGGGAGGCAGCAGUGGGGAAUGUUGGACAGUGGGCGGAAGCAUGAUCCAACCAUGCGGCGUGUGUGAAGAAGGCCUUCGGGUUGUAAAGCACUUUUGUUGGGAGAGAAAAGCAGCCGGUUAAUACCCGGUUGUCAUGACGGUACCCAAAGAAUAAGCACCGGCUAACUUCGUG